RNAcentral lists this long non-coding RNA (204 nucleotides) under Capsella rubella. RNAcentral describes it as "long non-coding RNA (CRUB_LNC004345)". The record is from RNAcentral. Lineage: Eukaryota; Viridiplantae; Streptophyta; Magnoliopsida; Brassicales; Brassicaceae.
UCACCUAUCUAUUUUUGAUAUAAUCUAAGAGAAAAUCACCAUCGUAAUCUCCUCCCUUUGGUAAGUGUUUCUCCUCCAUUGUCAAAAUGAAAUAUGUGAAUCAAUCUGCUGUAAUAUUUUGUUUCUUUUAAAAUUUGUCUUUGUAAUUUCAAUGGGCUUCAGUUAGAACUCUUCGGCCCAAUAAUAAUAAUAAAAUUGUAUGCG